This 476-nucleotide ribosomal RNA is filed under the name uncultured bacterium. RNAcentral's name for it is "bacterial SSU rRNA". It matches the Rfam family "Bacterial small subunit ribosomal RNA", at positions 25 to 518 of the family's 1533-position model. The record is from RNAcentral.
CAGGACGAACGCUGGCGGCGUGCUUCAUACAUGCAAGUCGAACGAGAAUCUCUAGCUUGCUAGAGAGGAAAGUGGCGGACGGGUGAGUAAUGUGUAGAGAAUCUGCCCUAGAGAGAGGGACAACAGUUGGAAACGACUGCUAAUACCUCAUAUGCGCGUAGCUGAGAUGCUAUUCGUGAAAACUCCGGUGCUCUGGGAUGAGUCUGCAUCUGAUUAGCUAGUUGGCGGUGUAAUGGACCACCAAGGCGACGAUCAGUAGCUGGUUUGAGAGGAUGAUCAGCCACAAUGGGACUGAGACACGGCCCAUACUCCUACGGGAGGCAGCAGUAGGGAAUUUUGCGCAAUGGGGGAAACCCUGAACCGCAGCAACGCCGCGUGAUUGAAUAAGCCCUUCGGGGUGUAAAGAUCUGUCAGUAGGGACGAAACUUGACGGUACCUACAGAGGAAGCAUCGGCUAACUCCGUGCCAGCCGCGGC